GUCUGCUCCUGUAAAGAUUUAGAGUCCUUCCUCUCAGUUUAAGAGGGCUGUCCUAAGGACAGGGCUGGCUCUUAAAGGCACAAGAGGACAUU
Molecule: small nucleolar RNA, 92 nt
Filed under: Echinops telfairi (small Madagascar hedgehog)
Lineage: Eukaryota; Metazoa; Chordata; Mammalia; Afrosoricida; Tenrecidae
Description: Small Cajal body specific RNA 11 (ENSETEG00000025838.1)
Rfam family: Small Cajal body specific RNA 11
About the family: scaRNAs are a specific class of small nuclear RNAs which localise to the Cajal bodies and guide the modification of RNA polymerase II transcribed spliceosomal RNAs U1, U2, U4, U5 and U12. ACA57 belongs to the H/ACA box class of guide RNAs as it has the predicted hairpin-hinge-hairpin-tail structure, conserved H/ACA-box motifs and is found associated with GAR1.
Source: RNAcentral